RNAcentral lists this ribosomal RNA (1237 nucleotides) under Weissella paramesenteroides. Its description in RNAcentral is "bacterial SSU rRNA". It matches the Rfam family "Bacterial small subunit ribosomal RNA", at positions 29 to 1222 of the family's 1533-position model. Lineage: Bacteria; Bacillati; Bacillota; Bacilli; Lactobacillales; Lactobacillaceae. The record is from RNAcentral.
GGGGACGUGGCGGCGUGCCUAUACAUGCAGUCGAACGCUUUGUCUUUAAUUGAUCUGACGAGCUUGCUCUGAUUUGAUUUUAUCUGACAAAGAGUGGCGAACGGGUGAGUAACACGUGGGUAACCUACCUCUUAGCAGGGGAUAACAUUUGGAAACAAGUGCUAAUACCGUAUAAUACCAACAACCGCAUGGUUGUUGGUUGAAAGAUGGUUCUGCUAUCACUAAGAGAUGGACCCGCGGUGCAUUAGCUAGUUGGUAAGGUAACGGCUUACCAAGGCAAUGAUGCAUAGCCGAGUUGAGAGACUGAUCGGCCACAAUGGGACUGAGACACGGCCCAUACUCCUACGGGAGGCAGCAGUAGGGAAUCUUCCACAAUGGGCGCAAGCCUGAUGGAGCAACGCCGCGUGUGUGAUGAAGGGUUUCGGCUCGUAAAACACUGUUAUAAGAGAAGAACGGCACUGAGAGUAACUGUUCAGUGUGUGACGGUAUCUUACCAGAAAGGAACGGCUAAAUACGUGCCAGCAGCCGCGGUAAUACGUAUGUUCCAAGCGUUAUCCGGAUUUAUUGGGCGUAAAGCGAGCGCAGACGGUUAUUUAAGUCUGAAGUGAAAGCCCUCAGCUCAACUGAGGAAUGGCUUUGGAAACUGGAUGACUUGAGUGCAGUAGAGGAAAGUGGAACUCCAUGUGUAGCGGUGAAAUGCGUAGAUAUAUGGAAGAACACCAGUGGCGAAGGCGGCUUUCUGGACUGUAACUGACGUUGAGGCUCGAAAGUGUGGGUAGCAAACAGGAUUAGAUACCCUGGUAGUCCACACCGUAAACGAUGAGUGCUAGAUGUUCGAGGGUUUCCGCCCUUGAGUGUCGCAGCUAACGCAUUAAGCACUCCGCCUGGGGAGUACGACCGCAAGGUUGAAACUCAAAGGAAUUGACGGGGACCCGCACAAGCGGUGGAGCAUGUGGUUUAAUUCGAAGCAACGCGAAGAACCUUACCAGGUCUUGACAUCCCUUGCUAAUCCUAGAAAUAGGACGUUCCCUUCGGGGACAAGGUGACAGGUGGUGCAUGGUUGUCGUCAGCUCGUGUCGUGAGAUGUUUGGGUUAAGUCCCGCAACGAGCGCAACCCUUAUUAUUAGUUGCCAGCAUUCAGUUGGGCACUCUAAUGAGACUGCCGGUGACAACCCGAAGAAAAGGUGGGGGAUAAAUUCAAAUCAUCAAGGCCCCUUUUAACCUGGGGGUACACACC